UGCCAGCAGCCGCGGUAAUACGGAGGGUGCAAGCGUUGUUCGGAAUUACUGGGCGUAAAGCGUGCGCAGGCGGCUUCAUAAGUCAGACGUGAAAGCCCGGGGCUCAACCCCGGGAGGUCGUUUGAUACUGUGGAGCUUGAGUACGGGAGAGGGGUGUGGAAUUCCCAGUGUAGAAGUGAAAUUCGUAGAUAUUGGGAGGAACACCAGUGGCGAAGGCGACACCCUGGCCCGAGACUGACGCUCAGGCACGAAAGCGUGGGGAGCAAACAGGAUUAGAUA
RNAcentral lists this ribosomal RNA (279 nucleotides) under uncultured bacterium. RNAcentral describes it as "partial 16S ribosomal RNA". It matches the Rfam family "Bacterial small subunit ribosomal RNA", at positions 506 to 784 of the family's 1533-position model. The record is from RNAcentral.